RNAcentral lists this ribosomal RNA (488 nucleotides) under uncultured bacterium. RNAcentral's name for it is "bacterial SSU rRNA". It matches the Rfam family "Bacterial small subunit ribosomal RNA", at positions 32 to 518 of the family's 1533-position model. The record is from RNAcentral.
AACGCUGGCGGCGUGCCUAACACAUGCAAGUCGAACGAAGCACUUCUGGAUUGAGAUUCGUCAAGAUCCGGAUUUGACUUAGUGGCGGACGGGUGAGUAAUACAUGAGCAACCUGCCCUGGAGUGGGGGACAACAGUUGGAAACGACUGCUAAUACCGCAUAAUGUAUCCGUAAGGCAUCUUGUGGAUACCAAAGAUUUAUUGCUCUGGGAUGGGCUCAUGUCUGAUUAGCUAGUUGGUGGGGUAACGGCUCACCAAGGCUGCGAUCAGUAGCCGGACUGAGAGGUUGAACGGCCACAUUGGGACUGAGAUACGGCCCAGACUCCUACGGGAGGCAGCAGUGGGGAAUAUUGGGCAAUGGGCGAAAGCCUGACCCAGCAACGCCGCGUGAAGGAAGAAGGCCUUCGGGUUGUAAACUUCUUUUAUGAGGGACGAACAAAUGACGGUACCUCAUGAAUAAGCCACGGCUAACUACGUGCCAGCCGCCGC